Molecule: long non-coding RNA, 2493 nt
Organism: Sinocyclocheilus grahami
Lineage: Eukaryota; Metazoa; Chordata; Actinopteri; Cypriniformes; Cyprinidae
Source: Ensembl
UUUGAAAACCUCACAUCACAUCGCGUCACGUUGUGCAUAUCAUCCUUAUCUUAUCGCUUCCCGGAAGCAGAACGCCACAGAACCUUUCUCUCCACUGCAACGCAUUCCCAAAAGCUGUCUGGACGCAUAGUUUAAGGUCAAUCUUUCUUUCAUGGAUUUCUCCGUCUCGUUCUCAAUGAGCAGGGUGAAAGCCUUUCUGUGUCCUGCUCUAGAAUGCUUCCCCCCUUUAACAACGGAAUGAGCGCAGAAUGUUACCAUAGGAACCACUGACAGAGCACCAUGAAAGCUAAGGAUGAUGAAAGAAGCUGGGAAAGCAAUAUUUGAACAUCACCCUUCAUUUCCCCUCCCCUCAAUUUGUCCGCAAUGUUACUUUGAAUAAACAUUAACAAUGCAUAUUUAAUGCAAGGGAAUUAAAAACAGGUGAAUGGUACAACACAAAUAAAGUGAAAUGGCUAUAAACCACAUAGUCAAGCAGUGAAAGAGUGGAGGGGCAUGAAAAUAUCUGUAUCUGCAGAUUCCCCCACAGCCAUGGGAACUGAGGGAGAAGGAAAAAGGAGACUAAGACCUCUGCUGCUUCUUCCUAGUCCAGAAGCUGUAGUGAAAUGUGCACACUGGAGAGCCACUGUAUAUGUAAAUUCUUUGUUUGUUAGAGUGAUAGCAAAAAAUGAUAGAAGCUUUUAUAGUGUUCAGUUUCAGGUCCCUCCUUUUAACCCUUUCCCCUCCACAAAAAAAAAAAAAUGAAUUCCUCCACCUCUGCAAAGUGCUUAAUGGACUACUCCUGUUGGAGAGCUGAGAAGUAUCUGCCCUGCCUCACUUGGCCUUGACUGGCUCCCUCUCAAGCCAGCGUACGCGCACCCUCUGCUUAUAGUGAUACUCCCUGAGGUAGUCCCGCAGAGCAGGGGGCAUUGGCAGUGCCCCGAUGCCAUCGUAGGUGAUCCCAUUGCAAAUGGCUGAUCGAGCCAGGCUUUGCAGGCCAAAUGGGAAGGUCCGGUGCAGAGGCACAGUGAGCAAUGGCUCAAAGAACAUGCAAGCGCUAGGGUCCUUGUAGUGUUCCAAGAGUGCCGUGACGGUGGCUGCAUGGAACACGCAAGGGUCGUGUGCAUCAAAGCUGAAGUUGUGAUUCCACUGCUCAAUGCGUGCGUGCAGCGAACGGCCAUAGCGACGGAAGCUAACGGAAAACAGGUAGUCUUCUUGAGCCGAGUCUCGCAGGAGAAAGGUUCCCUCGGGCCGACCAUCCAGCAGGGCUUCAGCCUCAUAACGGUCCAUCACACCCCAGUAGCAGGGAAGUGCUGUGAUCUGUAGCAGAUCUGGAACCAAGCAGUGGAUGUAGUCAAUCUGAGUGUGUACCUUCCAAGGCCCCUGUUGCUUGCUGCUCAGGAGGCCCUCCGCCGAAGCGUGUCGCUGCUUGGGCCUGCGAGCUUGCAAGCAAAGAGUGGUGGUAUCAUCGUCCUCAGAGUCACAGUUAGCUGCUGUUGCCCCCCGGCUAUCGCCUAGGGCCUCACCCAUUCCAGGGGCCAACUUAGGUCCCAGUUUAUAAAGGGAAGCCAGAGGGGCUGUGAUAGCCUCCACUGUGUGGAUUUGGGCAUCUGGAGGUGGGUCAACACCCUCCUCGAUGCUGAGUCGUCUUCUCUCUCUCAAGCGCUCCUCCUCAUCUUCCGGCGAUGCACAGGUAGCACCGCAAGCAUCUGAGGAUGAAUCUACUGGUGUCAUUGUGACUGGUGCUGUGUGCUGUUUAAUGAGGUGCCAUUUUCGAGCAAGGUCUGAUCCUGGUGCGAAGGGGCAUGUCUCCAGCAUCAGCUCUGUGAUUUGUAUCUUACGUUUGGGUGGUGGAAGGUGACUGUUCCGAGAGGAUGAGCGCAGUGGGAGGCACAGGCCCACUGUAUCAUGAAUCUGCUGCCGUAGGGAACGUGCUGCCCCUGACUCCAGCUCCUCACGGCUGCUACCAGUCCCACGUCUGCGCCGAGACCGGCCUGAUCGCCGAUCUGUGGUCUCCAGAGAACUCUGAGCCUUAGUGGAACAUGAGUGUCUCUUCUUUCCACUCCAAGGUGCAUGACGUGAGUAAGAGUCUCUGCGGGCUCCCAAGAGAGCACGAGCAUCUUCGGUAUCCUGCUCGACUGUGAUCUCUAGUAUCUGGGGUACAUCCACUACACAGUUAUGGCCCUGUCGUGUCACACUCCCACCGGUCCUCCAUACUACUAGAGGGAGUGCCGCCACACUGCUAGAAGGACUAGCAGCCUCCAGUGUGUUGUCUCCCUGGGCCUUGUCCACACUCUGGCAUACUGUGUCUGUUUGCGGUUGAAGCUGUGGUGGCGUUUCAAAUCGAGAACCCCCAUCUGUGUGGAGCAGAGAUUGACAUCCCUUCUUAAGGUUGCUCCACACCUUGCCAACCUUCUCCAUGAGGUGGGGGCACCUGGAUCUGGAACAAAAAGUCAGACUUCUAUUAGUAUAUGAUGACAAAUCCCAAUGAGAUGUCCCAUUUAUACGUCUAUCUUG